This 461-nucleotide ribosomal RNA is filed under the name uncultured bacterium. Its description in RNAcentral is "bacterial SSU rRNA". It matches the Rfam family "Bacterial small subunit ribosomal RNA", at positions 35 to 507 of the family's 1533-position model. The record is from RNAcentral.
CGAACUAACGGCUGGCGGCGCGUCUUAACAUGCAAGUCGGGCGGCAGCACCUCGGGUGGCGAGCGGCGAACGGGUGAGUAACACGUAGGUAAUUUGCCCACGGAUGGGGGACAACCUCUCGAAAGAGAGGCUAAUACCGCAUAACACCAUUUGGUCUACGGACCGUUUGGUCAAAGCAGCAAUGCGUCUGUGGAGAAGGCCUCGCGUCCGAUUAGGUAGUUGGUGAGGUAACGGCUCACCAAGCCAGCGAUCGGUAGCCGGCCUGAGAGGGUGAACGGCCACACUGGAACUGGGACACGGUCCAGACUCCUACGGGAGGCAGCAGUUAAGAAUCUUGCGCAAUGGAGGCAACUCUGACGCAGCGACGCCGCGUGUGCGAUGAAGGCCCUCGGGUUGUAAAGCACAACAAACAGGGAAGAAGAAAGUGACGGUACCUGUCUGAAGCACCGGCUAACUACGUG